Myotis brandtii (Brandt's bat) is the source of this 513-nucleotide non-coding RNA. Lineage: Eukaryota; Metazoa; Chordata; Mammalia; Chiroptera; Vespertilionidae. The record is from the annotation of a RefSeq genome assembly.
AUGAGAUUCUGCCCUGGACCUGAAAUGGUCAGCAGGCUCUUCUUCUGGGUGGCUCUUUGUCUCCUGUGGGCAGGAAACCUGGAUGCCCGAAUCACCCAGAGCCCAAGAUACAAGAUUGCAGGGACAGAAAAGAAUUUGACAGUGAGUUGUCACCAGACUGAUAACCAUGACUAUAUGUACUGGUAUCGCCAAGACCUGAACCAUGAGCUGACGCUGAUCUAUUACUCAGUUGGUGCUAGGCUCACCACCAAAGGAGAUGGUGCCAAUGGGUACAGUGCCUCUAGAUCAAAUACAGAGAACUUUGCCCUCACACUGGAGUCAGCGACCCCCUCACAGACAUCUGUGUACUUCUGUGCCAGCAGUGAAUACACAGUGCUGCAUAGCUGCCUCCUCUCUGCACAAAAAGGAUGGUUAGAAAACCUGAGGUUGCACUCUGAGGCUUGGCUAAACCCCGGGAAGUUCCUGCCAGCACAGGACUCUUACAGCCGUGGGCAUCAUGGCCCUCAGGGCUGA